AAAUUUUGCUGCUGGUAUGAGUGGCGGAAUUGCUUAUGUUUUUGAUGUGGAUGGGAAGUUUCAUACUCGAUGCAAUACCGAGCUUGUAGAUCUAGACAAAGUUGAAGAGGAAACUGAUAUUAUGACAUUGAGAAUGAUGAUUCAACAACACCAACGUCAUACGGGUAGUAAAUUAGCAAGAGACGUCCUUGCUGAUUUUGACAAUAUUUUACCAAAAUUUAUUAAAGUAUUCCCACGCGAUUAUAAGAGGGUUCUGCAGAAUUUGAAGGA
Molecule: unclassified non-coding RNA, 270 nt
Filed under: Hevea brasiliensis (rubber tree)
Lineage: Eukaryota; Viridiplantae; Streptophyta; Magnoliopsida; Malpighiales; Euphorbiaceae
Source: RNAcentral